GAAAAUUUGUUUUCUGAAAAAAUUGCAAUUUGUUUAAAUGUCGAGACGAUUAAAUUUGGGUCGGCGAACGCGAAAUUCGUUUCAAGUUGUGGCUUCAAGGAGCCGUGAAAGUAGCCAAGACAUUACACAUCGCAAUGAAAAUCGUCUACGCACAGCAAGGUCCCGUUCAAAUCAACGGAACAAUGAUGCAACAAAAACUGCAUAUGAACGUCGUGAUAUUCAAAAUCUACAAGGUGUUGCAUUCGCGUACAGUAGUGUCACCGAUUACGCUUCUCAUAGGCAAAUUAUAAUUGGUCCAAUGAACGACCGUUGUCGCCAUUGUCAGGCAUUAAAAUUUAAAGGUGAAGCAGAUGGGAUGUUCUGUGCGAGUGGUAAAGUGAAAUUGCCUGAGUCAGGCAGCCCACCACAACCAUUGAGCACAGUACUUAAUGGAUUGACACCUGAGUCUAAUCAGUUUUUGAACAAUAUACGAAAGUAUAGUUCGAGUUUUCAAAUGACAUCUUUUGGCGCUACAAAUAUUAUAAGAGACAACUUCAUGCCAACGUUCAAAAUUCAAGGUCAAAUAUACCAUCAAGCUGGCUCCUUGUUACCUUUCGACAACGCAGACCACCAAUUUUUGCAAUUAUAUUUUAUCGGGAACGCGGGAACACGCGAAGACAAAUUAUUUUCGAUUUGCAAAAUAUGUUCCAUGAGCACAACGAAUUGGUACAGGUUUUCAAAACAUCGCUUGAUCGAAUGCCAUCUGACGAUCAUAAAAUUGUUAUUCGAGCUGAUAAAACACCGGUUGGCGAACAUGCAAGGCGUUUCAAUGCACAAACAGUUGACGAAGUGGAAAUAGUCAUAGUUGGUGAGCAAUUUAAUAAUAGUGAUAUUGUGCUUCAUCGUAGAAAUGAACAACUUGAACGUGUAUCCAUCGAUGUUAUGAUGCACUACAAUAUCCCAUAUUGUUUUGGAGCGGACAAGAUGGCUAUAAUUACAACAUUAAAAUGAUAAAUCCAGUAAACGGUCGAGAAGGAACAAAGAAAGUUAGUGCUAUGAAUUAUUACGCAUACAUAUUGAGGUGUAGAGCACUUUUCCACCAGUAUAUUGUUGAUAUGUAUGCAAAAAUUGAAUCGGAACGGAUAAAUUUUCUUCGAUUCAACCAAGCCAAAUUACGUUCCGAAGAGUAUGUUCAUUUGCGUGAUGCCAUUAACAACGAUGGUAAUGCACAAAACGUUGGAACUAUGAUAAUAUUACCGUCAUCGUAUGUUGGAAGUCCACGUCAUAUGUUUGAGUACGUUCGCCGUUACGGUCGACCAGACCUCUUCAUCCGCAAUGGGAAGAAAUCUCGGAAUUAUUGUUUGUUGGCCAAACAUCGAAAGAUCGCCAUGAUAUUUUAGCACGUGUUUUUAGACAAAAAUUGAAAUCACUCAUGGAUUUAAUUGUCAAACACGGUGCAUUUGGGUCUGUUCAAUGUUGGAUGUAUUUAAUUGAAUAGCAGAAACGAGGUUUGCCUCAUGCGCAUAUUUUAAUUUGGCUGAUUGAAAAAAUAAGGCCGAAUCAAAUUGACGAUGUGAUUUCGGCAGAAAGUCCAGAUCAGACAGUGGAUCCUGAAUUGUUUGAACUGGUCACCAAAAAUAUGAUUCACGGUCCAUGUGGUGCGUUGAAUUUGAAUUUCCAAAAAAUUUUUUCUCCGAUACAGUGACGGGCAACGAUGGAUAUCCCGAAUAUCGGCGUCGAUCAACUGAAGAUAAUUGGCCAUUCGGUAAUUUUUAGAGUUAAAAAUCAAUAUUUGGAGAUUGAUAAUCGUUGGGUUGUGCCAUAUUCGCCUUUAUUAUCUAAGAUUUGUAGAGGGCUGCAAUUUAGUUUAAUCUAUUAAAUACAUUUGCAAAUACAUCCACAAGGGCAGUGAUAUGGCUGUUUUUGGAGCAGUUGCUAAUGUUACCGAUGAAAUCAUUCAAUUUCAAAUGGGCAGAUACAUCAGUUCAAAUGAAGCAGUAUGGCGCAUAUUAUCAUUCCCGAUCAAUGAAAGGCAUCCAACUGUAGUUCACUUAGCUGUUCAUCUUGAAAACGGUCAACACGUUUUUUUCAACCACCAGCAACAACUCUAUCCGCAUUUUUUUCGUUGUGUCAAGCAGAUGAUUUUGCGAAAACAUUGCUAUACGCCAAAGUACCAGAAUAUUAUACGUGGAAUAAUUCGUCAAAAGUUUUUCAAAGGCGAAGACGCGGAAUAGCCGUUUAUGGUCAGCCAGUAUUGUUUCACUCAGAUGCGAUAGGAAGAAUUUAUACAGUUCAUCCUAACAAUCAAGAGUGUUAAUUUUAGCGAUUGUUACUAAUAAAUGUUCGUGGACCAACAUCAUUUGAAUCUUUGCAAACUGUUGAUGAAGAAUUCUGUGGGAUAUAUCGCGAAGCAUGCGAACGUUUGAAUAUGCUUGAGAAUGACAUGCAUUGGGAUCUUACACUUGAAGAUGCAGCAUUGUCAUCAAGUCCACAUCAAAUUCGGACACUUUUCGCAAUUAUUAUAGCCACGUGCAGUCCAGCAAAGCCAAUUGAAUUGUGGCAAAAACAUCAAAAUCAU
Long non-coding RNA from Drosophila obscura, 2557 nucleotides. RefSeq lists it as uncharacterized. The record is from RefSeq and is a predicted model, not a curated record. Lineage: Eukaryota; Metazoa; Arthropoda; Insecta; Diptera; Drosophilidae. The transcript has 3 exons.